Molecule: RNase P RNA, 417 nt
Filed under: Cloacimonadales bacterium (SeqCode)
Lineage: Bacteria; Pseudomonadati; Candidatus Cloacimonadota; Cloacimonadia (SeqCode); Cloacimonadales (SeqCode)
Description: RNase P RNA component class A
Rfam family: Bacterial RNase P class A
About the family: Ribonuclease P (RNase P) is a ubiquitous endoribonuclease, found in archaea, bacteria and eukarya as well as chloroplasts and mitochondria. Its best characterised activity is the generation of mature 5'-ends of tRNAs by cleaving the 5'-leader elements of precursor-tRNAs.
Source: RNAcentral
AAAGAAGAUAAAAUGUCUGCCCCGCACCUACUUUGAAGAACUCGCAAGAACAACUUUCAAAGUAGGUGCGGGGAGGAAAGUCCGAACACCAAAGGGCAGGAUACUUCCUAACUGGGAGUCCCGGCAACGGGAAGCCAGCUCCACAGAAACAAACUACUCUGAAAUUUUUCGGGGAAAAGGUGAAAUGGCGGUGUAAGAGACCACCAGUUUCCGGUGUGAACCGGAAAGCUCGGAAAGCCUUAUCCGGUGCAAUGCCAAAUAGGGAAGCUAUGAAUCGGCCCGAUUCGCUUCCGGGUAGGCAGCUGAAGCCGGUCAGAAUUGAGUUCAUUUGAACAUAGCAAUAUCCGGUUUAGAGAAAUAGACAUUGGAUCGUUUGUUAGGCGAUUCACAGAAUUCGGCUUAUAAUCUUCUUUGACA